GUUGGAUUCCUGUAAUCAUUUACGUAAUUUUUCCUCCCUCUCUUGUUUUGCCACUCUUCACAAAUCCAAAGCACUUUGGCGGUUCGGUAAUUUGGCAGUUCAGCACUUCGAACAUUCGGAAGUGUCCUAAUGUCUGAAUUGUCGAAAUUUGGUCGAAUUUACAUUCGUAACGAAACGAAUUGCACAUGUCUAAUGUGAACGUAGGUCGGAUUAACUGAAAUCCUGGAAUUGGGACAGUUGUAGCUCCUGUAUUAGCACAACCAUGAUUUUCAAAGGCGACCUUCACCUACCCUUCUCAUUACAAAUAUCUGCAUGCAUUUCAGUUCUACAUCACUUGCCCUUUUAUUUUGAUCUUGUUUUGACAGAAUUCCAAUAACCUUUGACAAUUACAUAUAUAUUGUUAGGACUUCUUUGGCAUGUUUUCUACAAGCUUAUUCACUAUAUAUGUGGAAUGUUAUUGUGUAU
Pelobates cultripes (western spadefoot toad) is the source of this 465-nucleotide non-coding RNA. NCBI's taxonomy places the organism in Eukaryota, Metazoa, Chordata, Amphibia, Anura, Pelobatidae. The record is from the annotation of a GenBank genome assembly.